CUGAAAUAACAAUGCUGUGGGUAAUUCUUCGAC
This 33-nucleotide small RNA is filed under the name Bombyx mori (domestic silkworm). Its description in RNAcentral is "ovarian small RNA-14745". Lineage: Eukaryota; Metazoa; Arthropoda; Insecta; Lepidoptera; Bombycidae. The record is from RNAcentral.